RNAcentral lists this ribosomal RNA (515 nucleotides) under uncultured bacterium. RNAcentral describes it as "partial 16S ribosomal RNA". It matches the Rfam family "Bacterial small subunit ribosomal RNA", at positions 28 to 523 of the family's 1533-position model. The record is from RNAcentral.
GAUGAACGCUGGCGGCGUGCCUAAUACAUGCAAGUCGAGCGAAUGGAUUAAGAGCUUGCUCUUAUGAAGUUAGCGGCGGACGGGUGAGUAACACGUGGGUAACCUGCCCAUAAGACUGGGAUAGCUCCGGGAAACCGGGGCUAAUACCGGAUAACAUUUUGAACCGCAUGGUUCGAAAUUGAAAGGCGGCUUCGGCUGUCACUUAUGGAUGGACCCGCGUCGCAUUAGCUAGUUGGUGAGGUAACGGCUCACCAAGGCAACGAUGCGUAGCCGACCUGGGAGGGUGAUCGGCCACAAUGGGACUGAGACACGGCCCAGACUCCUACGGGAGGGAGCAGUAGGGAAUCUUCCGCAAUGGACGAAAGUCUGACGGAGCAACGCCGCGUGAGUGAUGAAGGCUUUCGGGUCGUAAAACUCUGUUGUUAGGGAAGAACAAGUGCUAGUUGAAUAAGCUGGCACCUUGACGGUACCUAACCAGAAAGCCACGGCUAACUACGUGCCAGCCGCCGCUGUAA